Molecule: ribosomal RNA, 359 nt
Filed under: uncultured Pseudomonas sp.
Lineage: Bacteria; Pseudomonadati; Pseudomonadota; Gammaproteobacteria; Pseudomonadales; Pseudomonadaceae
Description: partial 16S ribosomal RNA
Rfam family: Bacterial small subunit ribosomal RNA (bases 1-298)
Source: RNAcentral
GGUACAGAGGGUGGCCAAAUUGCGAGGGGGGGUUAAUCACAUAAAAACGAUAGUAGUCGGAAUUACAGUCAAAAACUCGAUUGUGAGAAGUUGGAAUCGAUAGUAAUCGAGAAUCAGAAGUUCACGGAGAAUAAGAUCCUGGACCUUAUACACACCGCCCGUCACACCAUGGGAGUGGGUUGCUCCAGAAGUAGCUAGUUUAACCUUCGGGAGGACGGUUACCAGGGGGUGAUUCAUGACAGGGGCGAAGUCGUAACAAGGUAGUCAUAGGGGAACUUUAGGGUAGAUCAGCUCCUGUAUCGAAGCUGUCAGCUGGUUGACAAGCUUCCACAAGAAUUGCUUGAUUCAGGGUAGAAGAC